This 86-nucleotide transfer RNA is filed under the name Candidatus Nitrobium versatile. Its description in RNAcentral is "tRNA-Leu". It matches the Rfam family "tRNA". From Rfam's summary of the family: Transfer RNA (tRNA) molecules are approximately 80 nucleotides in length. Their secondary structure includes four short double-helical elements and three loops (D, anti-codon, and T loops). The record is from RNAcentral. Lineage: Bacteria; Pseudomonadati; Nitrospirota; Nitrospiria; Nitrospirales; Nitrospiraceae.
GCCGGUGUGGUGGAAUGGCAGACGCGACGGACUCAAAAUCCGUUGGGCUUCGGCCCGUGUGGGUUCAACUCCCACCACCGGCACCA